Molecule: long non-coding RNA, 405 nt
Filed under: Gossypium barbadense (sea-island cotton)
Lineage: Eukaryota; Viridiplantae; Streptophyta; Magnoliopsida; Malvales; Malvaceae
Description: long non-coding RNA (GBAR_LNC017240)
Source: RNAcentral
UUUCUUCCUCCAGUCGAUGCUAUCCGGGACAUUAAUCAGGUUUUCAUAUCGAAACCUUUUAAUUUUAUGUGAAACAUUUUUAGAAGAGAACAUGUAUCCAGCAAAGUUCGUUAGGAAUUCUUCAUUGGUUAAGUCAGCAAAUUCAUUGGUACUUAACUUAUAAGUUUGAUUCCCCAUUUUAUUGAAGUUUUCUAUGAAUUCCAGAUUGUUUUUGAAUAUCUGAAAACGCAUAGUCUCCUCUUCCUGCAUCUCAUAGGUUCGUCCAUGCUCAACCAUCCAUUGCUUGUAUUUCUCAGCAACGAAGGCUUCAUCCAAUAUGCGGGACAUGGCAGAUGCCAGAGCCCCAGAAACAGUCAACAUGAAAAUAAGAAACUUAGUUUUGAGUGCGAAAGCCAUUGCUCAAUG